AGAUUGAACGCUGGCGGUAGGCUUAACACAUGCAAGUCGAACGGUAACAGAUCUAGCUUGCUAGAUGCUGACGAGUGGCGGACGGGUGAGUAACGCGUAGGAAUCUACCUUAUAGUGGGGGACAACCUGGUGAAAACCAGGCUAAUACCGCAUACGCCCUACGGGGGAAAGCAGGGGAUCUUCGGACCUUGCGCUAUAAGAUGAGCCUGCGUUAGAUUAGCUUGUUGGUGAGGUAAAGGCUCACCAAGGCGACGAUCUAUAGCUGGUCUGAGAGGAUGAUCAGCCACACUGGGACUGAGACACGGCCCAGACUCCUACGGGAGGCAGCAGUGGGGAAUAUUGCGCAAUGGGCGAAAGCCUGACGCAGCCAUACCGCGUGUGUGAAGAAGGCUCUAGGGUCGUAAAGCACUUUAAGUAGGGAGGAAGGCCUGUAAAUUAAUACUUUGCAGGAUUGACGUUACCUACAGAAUAAGCACCGGCUAACUCCGUGCCAGCAGCCGCGGUAAUACGGAGGGUGCAAGCGUUAAUCGGAAUUACUGGGCGUAAAACGCGCGUAGGCGGUUUGUUAAGCGAGAUGUGAAAGCCCUGGGCUCAACCUGGGAACUGCAUUUCGAACUGGCAGGCUAGAGUACAAGAGAGGGUGGUAGAAUUUCCUGUGUAGCGGUGAAAUGCGUAGAUAUAGGAAGGAAUACCAGUGGCGAAGGCGGCCACCUGGCUUGAUACUGACGCUGAGGUGCGAAAGCGUGGGGAGCGAACAGGAUUAGAUACCCUGGUAGUCCACGCCGUAAACGAUGUCAACUAGCCGUUGGAGUCCUUGAGGCUUUAGUGGCGCAGCUAACGCGAUAAGUUGACCGCCUGGGGAGUACGGCCGCAAGGUUA
This 879-nucleotide ribosomal RNA is filed under the name uncultured bacterium. Its description in RNAcentral is "bacterial SSU rRNA". It matches the Rfam family "Bacterial small subunit ribosomal RNA", at positions 26 to 896 of the family's 1533-position model. The record is from RNAcentral.